RNAcentral lists this ribosomal RNA (450 nucleotides) under uncultured bacterium. RNAcentral's name for it is "bacterial SSU rRNA". It matches the Rfam family "Bacterial small subunit ribosomal RNA", at positions 354 to 796 of the family's 1533-position model. The record is from RNAcentral.
GUGGGGAAUAUUGGACAAUGGGCGAAAGCCUGAUCCAGCCAUGCCGCGUGUGUGAAGAAGGUCUUCGGAUUGUAAAGCACUUUAAGUUGGGAGGAAGGGCAGUAAGUUAAUACCUUGCUGUUUUGACGUUACCGACAGAAUAAGCACCGGCUAACUUCGUGCCAGCAGCCGCGGUAAUACGAAGGGUGCAAGCGUUAAUCGGAAUUACUGGGCGUAAAGCGCGCGUAGGUGGUUUUGUAAGUUGGAGGUGACAUCCCCGGGCUCAACCUGGGAACUGCCUCCAAAACUGCAUGACUAGAGUACGGUAGAGGGUCGUGGAAUUUCCUGUGUAGCGGUGAAAUGCGUAGAUAUAGGAAGGAACACCAGUGGCGAAGGCGACUACCUGGACUGAUACUGACACUGAGGUGCGAAAGCGUGGGGAGCAAACAGGAUUAGAAACCCUAGUAGUCC